AACGUAGGUGGCGAGCGUUGUCCGGAAUUACUGGGCGUAAAGGGCGCGCAGGCGGCUGAUUAAGUUGUGUGUGAAAGGUUCAGGCUUAACCUGAAGAGAGCACACGAUACUGAUUGGCUUGAGUGCAGGAGAGGGCAGUGGAAUUCCUAGUGUAGCGGUGAAAUGCGUAGAUAUUAGGAGGAACACCAGUGGCGAAGGCGGCUGUCUGGACUGUAACUGACGCUGAGGCGCGAAAGCGUGGGGAGCAAACAGG
Molecule: ribosomal RNA, 253 nt
Filed under: uncultured bacterium
Lineage: Bacteria
Description: partial 16S ribosomal RNA
Rfam family: Bacterial small subunit ribosomal RNA
Source: RNAcentral